CCUACGGGGGGCAGCAGUAAGGAAUAUUGGACAAUGGCCGCAAGGCUGAUCCAGCCAUGCCGCGUGCAGGAAGAAGGCCCUAUGGGUCGUAAACUGCUUUUGAACGGGAGAAAACCCUUGCUCGUGAGCGAGGCUGAUAGUACCGUUAGAAUAAGCAUCGGCUAACUUCGUGCCAGCAGCCGCGGUAAGACGAAGGAUGCCAGCGUCAUCGGGAUUCAUUGGGUUUAAGGGGAACUUGGGCGGAAUUGGUGAAAUCUGUGGGCUGAACCCACAAACUGCCAUUGAUACUGCAGGUCUAGAGUACAGUUGCCGUUGGCGGAAUAUGACAUGUAGUGGUGAAAUACUUAGAUAUGUCAUAGAACACCGAUUGCGAAGGCAGCUAACGAAGCUGUAACUGACGCUGAGGCGCGAAAGUGCGGGGAUCAAACAGGAUUAGAUACCCGUGUAGUC
This 450-nucleotide ribosomal RNA is filed under the name uncultured bacterium. Its description in RNAcentral is "partial 16S ribosomal RNA". It matches the Rfam family "Bacterial small subunit ribosomal RNA", at positions 338 to 795 of the family's 1533-position model. The record is from RNAcentral.